ACGAGAAUAUUCCGCAAUGGACGAAAGUCUGACGGAGCGACGCCGCGUGAUCGAUGAAGUGCUUCGGUACGUAAAGAUCUUUUAUCGGGGACGAAGUUUAUUGACGGUACCCGAUGAAUAAGGAGCUCCUAACUCUGUGCCAGCAGGAGCGGUAAUACAGAGGCCCCAAGCGUUAUCCGGAAUCACUGGGCGUAAAGGGUGUCGAGGCGGUUGUAUUAGUCGUUCGUAAAAUCUACGAGCUUAACUUGUAGGCGGCGAACGAAACGGUACGACUUGAGGUUUGGAGAGGUGCGUGGAACUCACGGUGUAGGGGUGAAAUCCGUUGAUAUCGUGGGGAACACCAAAGGCGAAGGCAGCGCACUGGCCAAAAUCUGACGCUCACACACGAAAGCUAGGGUAGCGAAGAGGAUUAGAUACCCCGGUAGUCCCUGAGCGGGCUGGCAAGGCGCAU
RNAcentral lists this ribosomal RNA (451 nucleotides) under uncultured bacterium. Its description in RNAcentral is "bacterial SSU rRNA". It matches the Rfam family "Bacterial small subunit ribosomal RNA", at positions 355 to 825 of the family's 1533-position model. The record is from RNAcentral.